ACAGAUGGGAGCUUGCUCCCUGAUGUUAGCGGCGGACGGGUGAGUAACACGUGGGUAACCUGCCUGUAAGACUGGGAUAACUCCGGGAAACCGGGGCUAAUACCGGAUGGUUGUUUGAACCGCAUGGUUCAGACAUAAAAGGUGGCUUCGGCUACCACUUACAGAUGGACCCGCGGCGCAUUAGCUAGUUGGUGAGGUAACGGCUCACCAAGGCGACGAUGCGUAGCCGACCUGAGAGGGUGAUCGGCCACACUGGGACUGAGACACGGCCCAGACUCCUACGGGAGGCAGCAGUAGGGAAUCUUCCGCAAUGGACGAAAGUCUGACGGAGCAACGCCGCGUGAGUGAUGAAGGUUUUCGGAUCGUAAAGCUCUGUUGUUAGGGAAGAACAAGUGCCGUUCAAAUAGGGCGGCACCUUGACGGUACCUAACCAGAAAGCCACGGCUAACUACGUGCCAGCAGCCGCGGUAAUACGUAGGUGGCAAGCGUUGUCCGGAAUUAUUGGGCGUAAAGGGCUCGCAGGCGGUUUCUUAAGUCUGAUGUGAAAGCCCCCGGCUCACCCGGGGAGGGUCAUUGGAAACUGGGGAACUUGAGUGCAGAAGAGGAGAGUGGAAUUCCACGUGUAGCGGUGAAAUGCGUAGAGAUGUGGAGGAACACCAGUGGGCGAAGGCGACUCUCUGGUCUGUAACUGACGCUGAGGAGCGAAAGCGUGGGGAGCGAACAGGAUUAGAUACCCUGGUAGUCCACGCCGUAAACGAUGAGUGUAAGUGGGUAGGGGGUUUCCGCCCCUUAGUGCUGCAGCUAACGCAUAAGCACUCCGCCUGGGGGAGUACGGUCGCCAGACUGAAACUCAAGGGAAAUUGACGGGGGCCCGCACAGGC
RNAcentral lists this ribosomal RNA (881 nucleotides) under Bacillus siamensis. RNAcentral describes it as "bacterial SSU rRNA". It matches the Rfam family "Bacterial small subunit ribosomal RNA", at positions 69 to 930 of the family's 1533-position model. The record is from RNAcentral. Lineage: Bacteria; Bacillati; Bacillota; Bacilli; Caryophanales; Bacillaceae.